Non-coding RNA from Pelodiscus sinensis (Chinese soft-shelled turtle), 261 nucleotides. NCBI's taxonomy places the organism in Eukaryota, Metazoa, Chordata, Testudines, Trionychidae. The record is from RefSeq and is a predicted model, not a curated record.
GCAGCCAUCGGCCUCCUCCUCCUCCUCCUCGCGGCCUUCGUCUGCUUCGCGAGAACCCGAGCCAGAAAAGGAGACGCCCCGAGACCCAGCAGCACCAUCCCCUUGCGGGUGUUGAAGGCUCCGGCUCAGCAAGAUCCUGUCUACGCCUCCGUCGAUGAAGGGAAACAGCCGCAGAGCCUGACCCAGGAGCCCGACCCCGGCGCCGAGGGACUCACCUAUGCCGAGCUGGACCACCAGGCGCUGCAUCACAAGCGGGGGGCC